ACUUUAGCGAGACUGCCAAUUAAACAUUGGAGGAAGGUGGGGAUAACGUCAAAUCAUCAUGCCCCUUAUGAUCUGGGCUACAAACGUGAUACAAUGGCUAUUACAAAGAGUAGCUGAAACGCGAGUUUUUAGCCAAUCUCAAAAAGGUAGUCUCAGUACGGAUUGAAGUCUGCAACUCGACUUCAUGAAGCUGGAAUCGCUAGUAAUCGCGAAUCAGCAUGUCGCGGUGAAUAUGUUCUCGGGGUUUGUACACACCGCCCGUCAAACCACGAAAGUUAGCAAUACCCGAAAGCAGUGGCUUAACUUCGAAAGAAGAGGGAGCUGUCUAAGGUAGGGUUGAUGAUUGGGGUUAAGUCGUAACAAGGUAUCCUUACCGGAAGGUGAGGAUGGAUCACCUCCUUU
RNAcentral lists this ribosomal RNA (402 nucleotides) under Candidatus Phytoplasma vitis. Its description in RNAcentral is "bacterial SSU rRNA". It matches the Rfam family "Bacterial small subunit ribosomal RNA", at positions 1137 to 1533 of the family's 1533-position model. Lineage: Bacteria; Bacillati; Mycoplasmatota; Mollicutes; Acholeplasmatales; Acholeplasmataceae. The record is from RNAcentral.